GCUGACUUUAAUGAAGUCUCUUAGGAGAAUUUUAAUUAAAAAAAAUUAAAAAAAAGAAGAAAGGCUAAGGCACACCUCUUACGUAAGGCUUGGAAGGCCCGCCUCUUAGUGUCCACGUGUCGUUUAAUGCGAUCAACUCUCUCUCUCUCUCUCUCUCUCUCUCUCUCUUUCGUUGUCGUCUUCGAUUAGAGGAAAGCUGAUAUCGGCCGGUUAUAGAUCUUUCUCGGGGAGCCGCGUGCAUGUUUAUUGCUUUGAUCGGAAUUUGGAUCUCGUUCCUUUGGAGAAUGAGCUCGAGAUCUUUCCUUCAGCUAAAGCAUGGAUUGAGUGCGUAUCCUAAUGAUCCGAGGCAAUCAGCAAACUCUUUGGUGACUAUCUGCUUGAUAAAGCAGAGGACUCUGUUCCUAGUGAGCUGCGUCCCUUGACUCCUGUUAAUUAGAGUUGGGGCUAUUGCUGGUUUGAGGGCUUUGGAUCAUGAAGCUUCUGAAAACAUUUUGCAAACGGGUAGGGAGCUCCUGAAAGAUCGAAGCAGGUUGAAGACUGAGGCAAAUGCAGUUUCUGUUCUGGAUGGUACUCAGGGAGGUUCUUACCAGUGGGAGAAAGGGAUAGAAACUUUCCAGAAGUCUCUUCCUGAUGGAAAAGUCAAGCAAGUUUUCUUCUUUGAUCCUGAUGGUUACAAUUGUGGAGAAUGAGAUGUAUCAAAGGUGAAAAUGCAUUACAGGGCAAGAUCUCUAUUGGCAGGAAACCAUUACUUGACCUUUGCAUCUCUUUAUGCAUUGUUUUGUAGUGAGUUCUCUGCCAAAGGAGAUUUGCCCGGUAAUUCUUCUGCGCUAAUAAAUCAACUAAUUAUAUGUGAUCAACCGAUCAAACUCAGCAAAGAAGUAAAUUCUAUUUUUCUUUGUUUUUGUGUGGCAUUGGUUUAUGUUCAUCCGGGUGUGGAGAUAUCUAUUCCUCUUUGUAUGAAUAUAGAAGGUGAGACACAUUUUAACGAGAAAAAACUUCAGUUGAAGUUAUGUUAUUUCCUUGUUUUCAUUCAUUUUCUUAGUGGCCGUCUUCUUGCUCUUCACACGUUGGAUAUGCUUUAUGCUCAAGCCAGGUCAGUACGGAGAAACA
Molecule: long non-coding RNA, 1110 nt
Organism: Brassica napus (rape)
Lineage: Eukaryota; Viridiplantae; Streptophyta; Magnoliopsida; Brassicales; Brassicaceae
Exons: 6
Source: RefSeq, a predicted model, not a curated record